This is a long non-coding RNA of Cydia splendana, 671 nucleotides long. RefSeq lists it as uncharacterized. NCBI's taxonomy places the organism in Eukaryota, Metazoa, Arthropoda, Insecta, Lepidoptera, Tortricidae. The transcript has 3 exons. The record is from RefSeq and is a predicted model, not a curated record.
ACAAUACUCCUUAAAGUUAUAGUUCACCAUAGUCUUGCAAGUAAGUUAAACUCAAGCUCAGCCAAGCAUCAGUAACCAGUUAAAUUAACCAGUUAAAUCAUUUAUCGAGUUAAGUGUCAUCAUUUAGUCCAAUUCAGUGUAUUUUGAAUUACCGUUUUCGUAGCUGCGCGCGCCGUAGACCCGCGUAGCCGUGCUACGCGCUCAGUUGAACCGCGCCGGCCGCCUGAGUGCUACGACCGCUCGGCGCUACGAUCGGGAACGAGAACGGUGACAGUUUUGCAGUGCGUUUAGUGUUGUGGUGUGUUUUGUGAACGGAGUGAUUAUUUAGGUGAAUAACGGCAGCCAUGCGUGUGGCGAUCAACAAUGAACAACGCAAUAAAAGUUAAAAUAUUGUGUAAACGUGAUUAAAAAAUACCAGUAUGUGUAUGAAAAGUGCGAAGAGCUCACGAGAAUUUAAAUAUAAGUAAACUCGUAAUAAAUGUUGAAAAUGGGUGUGUGUCAGCUGAUGCUGGUGUUACUUCUGGGCUGGAUAACGGACACAAAAGCCCUAAAAGACGUCCAACUAAUAGCGCCAUCUGCCGUCCGCCUCGGCGACGAGGUGCAACUUGGCUGCAAGUGGACGCUGGAGGGGAAUGAGACCCUUUACAGUGUGAAGUGGUAUCGGGGCAGGC